Molecule: non-coding RNA, 74 nt
Organism: Desmophyllum pertusum
Lineage: Eukaryota; Metazoa; Cnidaria; Anthozoa; Scleractinia; Caryophylliidae
Source: the annotation of a GenBank genome assembly
GCAGAGAUGGUGCAGUGGUGAGAGCACUCGCCUCCCACCAAUGCACGGCCCGGGUUCGAAUCUCGGACCCGGCG